CACGAACUGCGCGAACGUUAUUCGGAAUCACUGGGCUUAAAGAGUGCGUAGGCGGCUUGACAGGUGGGGUGUGAAAUCCCUCGGCUCAACCGAGGAACUGCGCUCCAAACCGUCAAGCUAGAGGGAGACAGAGGUGAGCGGAACUUACGGUGGAGCGGUGAAAUGCGUUGAUAUCGUAAGGAACACCGGUGGCGAAGGCGGCUCACUGGGUCUUUUCUGACGCUGAGGCACGAAAGCUAGGGUAGCGAACGGG
RNAcentral lists this unclassified non-coding RNA (253 nucleotides) under uncultured Pirellulaceae bacterium. RNAcentral describes it as "contains 16S-23S intergenic spacer region". It matches the Rfam family "Bacterial small subunit ribosomal RNA", at positions 524 to 776 of the family's 1533-position model. The record is from RNAcentral. Lineage: Bacteria; Pseudomonadati; Planctomycetota; Planctomycetia; Pirellulales; Pirellulaceae.